Molecule: long non-coding RNA, 609 nt
Organism: Corythoichthys intestinalis (scribbled pipefish)
Lineage: Eukaryota; Metazoa; Chordata; Actinopteri; Syngnathiformes; Syngnathidae
Exons: 3
Source: RefSeq, a predicted model, not a curated record
GUAGGAAGUAGUGACAGACUUACGUGUGUAAGAAAGCAGCAUGGCUGCGCUCAUUGGGUUUCUUAAUCCAAUGCAAUCUUACCUGAAAACCCCUCAGAAGGCAAUGACUGGCUUUAUCCGGCUGCAGGUUGACAGACCAGAAAAUUGACCUCGUCCACAUUUUAGUUUUGAUGGACCGGAGCAGCUGGACCCAGGCGGAUCCGGACCAUCCGGAGCUGAGCGCAACGCUACUGACCGAGUGGGAUUCUGGGGUUACGGCCUCUUCUUCCUGAACCUCGCCCCUCCUCCUUUUGUGUAUGUGUAUCACUGUCUUGAUUGCAGGAUUGGACAGAUGGGUGAGCCUGGGACCACUUGCCAGUGAUCAUCGUCAGCAGCCUACUUAAACUGGUCCUUGGCUUCACAUCAUCGCCUUAUAAACAACUCUACUCCUCGAAUCCUGCCUUGACAGCUCACCUGCUCACUCACCAAGUGCCCGCCUGAUCAUUUGGACACAGCUUGCUUUCGUAUUAUGCAGUAAACUAUUGUUACCACUACCACCUUGCCUGCCUUCUCUGCACUUUGGUCCUCUGCUUACUCAGAACCAUAACAAUACGUAAGAAAUAAAGUCAU